UUGUCAUAUUCCCAUUUUUAGCAUUCACAUAUGCCUGGAUCAUCUCUGCACUUUUUAACUUGGCAUUUGCAUUUCUGCACCAUGACAGAGAUGUCCCAGGCCAUUUUGGGUGCCUGAAAAAAUGUCUCUUCCACGAACCAACACUGUAGAAAAGUGCUGCACAAUCACAGGGCACUUUGGUGCCUGACAUUAUGAACAGAAGCAGAUAAGCUUCUAUUUUUCGUCCCUUUCUCCCUAGUUUUGCCAAUAAUUAGUCAUCAUUUAAUAUGUACUAAAUAGCUAGGGAGGCCAUUAGCGAUAUAAGCCAUAAAGUGAAAGAGGAAGAAUGAGUAUGCUUACGAGUGGAGGAGGAGAAGGUGUCGUAUGUAGUUCUGCUUGUAUAGACAAAGGCGUGGGCAUGCGCAGGCACAUUGUGCAACAUGCGCACUACCCUACGAGCACGCUGUGCCGCCUGCAGGGGGUGCCAAUUGUGAGUGUGAUGCUACUCGCAGGGCCUAAAGGAUAUGUGUGUGGCUUUGCCAUGACUCCCAAAAGCUAAAUCAGUGAGGUCUACUUGAUAUGGGCAUAAGGAGAGGAAGGUAACGAGGCAGAUGGCCUUUAUGCAUGAUGGAGAUGUUUGCUACCGGGGGUGUGAGCGAGUGAUGUGUGGGCAGCCUGUGGUGGUGCUC
RNAcentral lists this long non-coding RNA (668 nucleotides) under Carica papaya (papaya). RNAcentral describes it as "long non-coding RNA (CPAP_LNC006277)". The record is from RNAcentral. Lineage: Eukaryota; Viridiplantae; Streptophyta; Magnoliopsida; Brassicales; Caricaceae.